ACAUUCAUUUAGUCUGGAAGGUGUAAUAUAGUACGGACAAUAAUUGUGCAAAUAACAUAUAGCAUUUCUAUUACAUAUAGCAUUUCAAAAUAUCAUCUAUUCACGCCAAAUCGCACAAAUUGAACCGAAAAAAUUCUAAUUAACCUCAAAAUAUUGCUAAUUCUCGCCAAAUCACUCAAAUCUAUAUAAAAAAAUUAUUAUAUUUGAAAAAAAAAAUACUCACCGAU
RNAcentral lists this long non-coding RNA (227 nucleotides) under Ananas comosus (pineapple). RNAcentral describes it as "long non-coding RNA (ACOM_LNC037636)". Lineage: Eukaryota; Viridiplantae; Streptophyta; Magnoliopsida; Poales; Bromeliaceae. The record is from RNAcentral.